CAUUAAGUAGCGUGACAAAAUAAAAGUUGAUUCAUGUAGAUAUUAGUACUGAGAUUCUCCAAAUGCCAUGUCUCGGUCAUGAAACAUAUUCUUUAUCAGAUUUGAAGUACCACAAUGGGCUAACAAUCACUGUCAAUGUAAGGUACUGCAUGCCUUUCUUCUGCUUCAUAUGAACUGAAUUUCUCUAUUAAUUUGAUGCAUCAGUUUUCUCUUCACUUUGUCACAGUAGACAAUUGCCCCGUUUUGAUUUUAAAACUCCGCUGCACAAGUUAAUAUAAUGAAAAUGUAAGUGCCAAAGAUAAUGAAAAUGUUUGCUUCCUAUAAACUUAUAAACAUAGGAGUGACAACUUAAACAUGUGGUGCCCUAAGUGUAUUCUAUCUGUAGGCUUGCAAAGAUAGAAUGGCUUGCAUGAGAAUAUCAAUGCCAAAAUCAUCUGCGACUCAGAAAAAUGACAGAUCAUAGAUAAAGUAAGGUGGCUUGGUGCAAAGCUAUAUACAUUCACGCAUUUCGUUGUUAUAAUUAUGGGCAAACUAUUAACAAAAGAACAUAGUAAGGUGUAGCGGAUGCCGAUGCGUCUGAAGCUCAUACCAAGUAGGCAACUUCCCAUGCAGAGUAUAUGUCCUGGCAAGAAGAGAAAAGGAGGUGGAGCACCACAAUACAUAAUUUAUUAGACUAAAGAGCACUACAAUAUCCCAAUAAUUUGAAGGAGCAAUUGUAUGCCUGACCAUGAUCUCAACAUAUGUGACUUUGAUACAUGUAUUUCUUUGAUCAUAUCAUUUGAAUAAUCACGAUCUUGAAUUAUGAUGGUUUAGUUUGAUUAUAAUUAAAGAAAAUCAACCAGCUAUGCAAGCAUGAUAGUUAUCAAUAGAGCCACAUCACACCAGUUCUAAAUUUCAUGAUAGGUGCUUACUAUAUUUUCUAAGAUUGCCAUGCAUCUUGUUAGAAUCAAGAAAUACAUGUAUAUGCCAGCAGCUAGUGCUCCCAAGGGAACAGAAUUAUGCUUGUGCAGCGCCAUGAAUAUUGAAUAUAUAUGAUGGAUUUACUUUGGUUUUUCAGCUGUCAUGGUCAAAGUUCUAAAUCAGACUUAUAUUCUACGAAAAUAUUUACUUGACGUGAUCCAGUGUGUUGUUACAAAUACAAAUAUAUAUUUUUAAUCAAUCAUUUGUACAUCUCUAACCUCUACGCUCUAGCCAUGAUUACAUUGUAAUUAUUAAGUUCUUAACUUUCUCUGCAUUUAUAAUUAGAACACAACACACUACCUUGAUAUAUCCCCUUAUUGAAAAAGAUCCUAAAAAACAUCAGGCACAUAAGCCUAAAACAAAACAGUGGUGAUUACCUUGGAAAAAGAUCACUUUGACCCCUAUAUUUCUACAUUAAUCAAUGAACGAAAUUCUACUCUAGAUGGCCACAUCUUGCGCGUUCAUAUUUUUUUAUAAGGUGUGUUGAGCGGGUAACCGACUUUUAGUUCUAUUAGGUACUAUAAGCAUUGGUCGAUGCAACAUCAAUGAGAAAAAAUGGUUCCUUAAAUAGAUAAGCUUUUUGGAAAAUUCACAUGGAGAAAGCAAGGAAUCUCAUCAUACUGCCGAGGUAAAGCAUCUGACAACCCAAAAGGGCAACAUAAUAAUCAUGAAGGAGAAAUGCCAAAUGAGACCAUAGAAAAAGGAACGCGGAAAGAGAAACCAAUCAACUUAAGAGGAGAGCCAGGUCUCGCCUUGGCGUACAUUGCCCGGUCCAUCCCGUUGGUCUAGAGCGUCGAUCCCAAAACUAUUCCAAAUCCAGAACAACAAAGUGUGUAAUAUAGCCAGAAUGUUAGAACAAUAUCUAAAUCGUGGCGAUGUAACGACCUGCUCAACACUGACUGCUGAAACUUUCAGUAAAAUCAGAGUGCUGAACAGUAUCUAAAUCGACAGGCAAACCUUGGACUAGGCAUGGAAGUGCAGUCCUAUUGAUCUUUCCCUGCUCCUCUUUGAUUUCAGCAACUUCCUGUAAACUUGAUGUUUCAUAUUGUGCUCCUCCACCUCCAAUAUACAUGAACCUGAAUUACAUAAUACAAAGAAACAAAAUCAUAGUUAGGCCAUCCAGAGAGUGAAACAGAUAAGUGUGCAGCAAUAAUCUUGAAAAAACAACAAAAUUGCACAGCUAGAAGAACCAGACUAUUCAAUAACUUAAAAUGUGUUACAUAUAUGUCUUCACCUUCUUCCCGAGAUACUCUGCAUCCAUGCAUUGAAGUGGAAAUUGAACUAUCUGC
This 2249-nucleotide long non-coding RNA is filed under the name Triticum aestivum (bread wheat). RNAcentral describes it as "long non-coding RNA (TAES_LNC013657)". Lineage: Eukaryota; Viridiplantae; Streptophyta; Magnoliopsida; Poales; Poaceae. The record is from RNAcentral.